GGUUAAGUUAGAAAGGGCGCACGGUGGAUGCCUUGGCACUAGGAGCCGAUGAAGGACGGGACGAACACCGAUAUGCUUCGGGGAGCUGUAAGCAAGCUUUGAUCCGGAGAUUUCCGAAUGGGGAAACCCACCACUCGUAAUGGAGUGGUAUCCAUAUCUGAAUUCAUAGGAUAUGAGAAGGCAGACCCGGGGAACUGAAACAUCUAAGUACCCGGAGGAAGAGAAAGCAAAUGCGAUUCCCUGAGUAGCGGCGAGCGAAACGGGAUUAGCCCAAACCAAGAGGCUUGCCUCUUGGGGUUGUAGGACACUCUGUACGGAGUUACAAAAGAACGAGGUAGAUGAAGAGGUCUGGAAAGGCCCGCCAUAGGAGGUAACAGCCCUGUAAUCAAAACUUCGUUCUCUCCUGAGUGGAUCCUGAGUACGGCGGAACACGUGAAAUUCCGUCGGAAUCCGGGAGGACCAUCUCCCAAGGCUAAAUACUCCC
RNAcentral lists this ribosomal RNA (484 nucleotides) under Bacillus subtilis. RNAcentral's name for it is "partial 23S ribosomal RNA". It matches the Rfam family "Bacterial large subunit ribosomal RNA", at positions 1 to 477 of the family's 2925-position model. Lineage: Bacteria; Bacillati; Bacillota; Bacilli; Caryophanales; Bacillaceae. The record is from RNAcentral.